UGCCUCAGUAACGGCGAGUGAAGCGGCAACAGCUCAAAUUUGAAAUCUGGCCCUUUCAGGGUCCGAGUUGUAAUUUGCAGAGGGUGCUUUGGUGUCGGCCGUGGUCUAAGUUCCUUGGAACAGGACGUCACAGAGGGUGAGAAUCCCGUACGUGGCCGCCGGUCUUCACCGUGUAAAGCCCCUUCGACGAGUCGAGUUGUUUGGGAAUGCAGCUCUAAAUGGGAGAUACAUUUCUUCUAAAGCUAAAUAUUGGCCAGAGACCGAUAGCGCACAAGUAGAGUGAUCGAAAGAUGAAAAGCACUUUGGAAAGAGAGUCAAAAAGCACGUGAAAUUGUUGAAAGGGAAGCGCUUGCAGCCAGACGUGCCCGCAGUUGCUCACCUGGGCUCUCGCCCGGGGCAUUCUUCUGCGGGCAGGCCAGCAUCAGUUCGGGCGGUUGGAUAAAGGCCUCUAUCACGUAUCUUCCUUCGGGAUGACCUUAUAGGGGAGGCGCAACACGACCAUCCUGAACUGAGGACCGCGCAUCAGCUAGGAUGCUGGCGUAAUGGCUGUAAGCGGCCCGUCUUGAAACACGGACCAAGGAGUCUAACAUCUAUGCGAGUGUUUGGGUGUAAAGCCCGGGCGCGCAAUGAAAGUGAACGGAAGUGGG
Molecule: ribosomal RNA, 647 nt
Filed under: fungal sp.
Lineage: Eukaryota; Fungi
Description: partial large subunit ribosomal RNA
Rfam family: Eukaryotic large subunit ribosomal RNA
Source: RNAcentral